UACAGAGGGUGCAAGCGUUAAUCGGAAUUACUGGGCGUAAAGCGUGCGUAGACGGUCAUGUAAGUCGGGUGUGAAAGCCCCGGGCUCAACCUGGGAAUUGCAUUCGAGACUGCGUGGCUAGGGUGCGGAAGAGGGAAGCGGAAUUUCCGGUGUAGCGGUGAAAUGCGUAGAUAUCCGGAAGAACACCGGUGGCGAAGGCGGCCUGCUGGGCAGUUGCUGACACUGAGGCGCGACAGCGUGGGGAGCAAACAGG
RNAcentral lists this ribosomal RNA (253 nucleotides) under uncultured bacterium. RNAcentral describes it as "partial 16S ribosomal RNA". It matches the Rfam family "Bacterial small subunit ribosomal RNA", at positions 524 to 776 of the family's 1533-position model. The record is from RNAcentral.